This 282-nucleotide small RNA is filed under the name Marmota monax (woodchuck). The record is from RNAcentral. Lineage: Eukaryota; Metazoa; Chordata; Mammalia; Rodentia; Sciuridae.
UAGCUCACAUGUUAGCUGAGGAACAACUUCAGGCUGGCCACUUAGAACCUUGGAACAUGUGGAACACACCCAUCUUUGUAAUUAAGAAAAAUCUGGCAACUGGAGAUUAUUACAAGAUAUUUGGGCUAUUAAUUGUGUUAUAGAGCCCAUGGAAGCCUGACAAUCAAUACUGACUUCUUCUACAACUAUUCCUUUAGAUUAUCAUUUGAUAGUAGGAGAUUUAAAAGAUUCUUUCUUUUCUAUACCUUUGCACCGAGAUGACUAUAAAAGGUUUACCUUUAG